GAAGUAAAAGUCGUAACAAGGUUUCCGUAGGUGAACCUGCGGAAGGAUCAUUAGUGAAUACUGAGCGUCUCCUUAACGAGAGCUCGACCUCCACUUUCUAACACUGUGCACUAUUUUAUAAGCUUGGUUAAGCCGAGAGGCGGUACCUUGCUUGUUUACCCCCCUUUACAAACAUGAAGUAAAAGAAUGUAACAAAAACCAUAACAAAAAUAAAACUUUCAACAACGGAUCUCUUGGCUCUCGCAUCGAUGAAGAACGCAGCGAAAUGUGAUAAGUAAUGUGAAUUGCAGAAUUCAGUGAAUCAUCGAAUCUUUGAACGCACCUUGCGCUCUCUGGUAUUCCGGAGAGCAUGCCUGUUUGAGUGUCAUGAACUCUUCAACCCGCCGGUUCCUUGUUGGACCGAGUCGGUGUUUGGAUUUUGAGCGCUUGCAGCUUUGUUAUGAAGCUGCUCGUUCGUAAUACAUUAGCAUCUCAAUUUCGAACUUCGGAUUGACUCAGCGUAAUAGACUAUUCGCUGAGGAGCAUUGGGGCAACUUCGGUUGUUUUCGGUGGCCGAAUGUGUAGAUAAGAGUAGAAGCUACCAAUCCUUCUAGUCAAAUUUUUUAGAUUAGACCUCAGAUCAGGCAGGAUUACCCGCUGAACUCAAGCAU
RNAcentral lists this ribosomal RNA (650 nucleotides) under fungal sp. SF(I)5B-11. Its description in RNAcentral is "eukaryotic LSU rRNA". The stretch from base 214 to 367 matches the Rfam family "5.8S ribosomal RNA". Lineage: Eukaryota; Fungi. The record is from RNAcentral.